Molecule: ribosomal RNA, 253 nt
Filed under: uncultured bacterium
Lineage: Bacteria
Description: partial 16S ribosomal RNA
Rfam family: Bacterial small subunit ribosomal RNA
Source: RNAcentral
UACAGAGGGGGCAAGCGUUGUCCGGAAUUAUUGGGCGUAAAGAGCUCGUAGGCGGUUUGUUGCGUCGGCUGUGAAAACCUGAGGCUCAACCUCAGGCCUGCAGUCGAUACGAGCAGACUAGAGUGUUGCAGGGGAGACUGGAAUUCCUGGUGUAGCGGUGAAAUGCGCAGAUAUCAGGAGGAACACCGGUGGCGAAGGCGGGUCUCUGGGCAACAACUGACGCUGAGGAGCGAAAGCGUGGGGAGCGAACAGG